AAGAAACUAAGGUUCAGCUGAAAUUUAGCCCUUAUCAUCCCAGCUAUGAGGACUGAGGAGGAUUCAUUGAGAACUAGCUAGAUAAAAAGAGACAGAAGUUGAAGCAGGGCAUGUCUAUGAUGCACUGUGGGGUACUGCACAGAAUUUCUGAAGUCCUGCCUCUCAGCACCUCCUGAUUUCAUGGAGAAGACUCAUACCACUUCAUCUUAGCAGUCUCCCCAUGGGAGGUUUCCAUCUAGGCAUGCCCAAUGAGAAACCAGGUUACCAAAUGUGCACUAUUGGUUACAUAACAGUUUUUCUGAGCAUGUAUUAUAAUCUAUUUCAAUAGUUUCUUCAGGAUAUGGAUCUUUUCCAUAACUGUAUAUACAACUACUGAGGUGGUAUACAUUUCAGGAUUUGACACUAAAAUGCCUGGGAAUAAAAUAGAAGAUGGGACAACUUAGCUUGACUGAAUCAAGUUUUUAUAUAUAAAUAUGUAUUGCAUAAAUGCUGUCAGCACUGAAUAUCUCUGGUCGUGAGACAAAAGCUGAAUAAACAUUAAUUGAUUUCAAUUAAAUUAAUAAAAAACAUGUUGAAUU
This is a long non-coding RNA of Cygnus olor (mute swan), 578 nucleotides long. RefSeq lists it as uncharacterized. The transcript has 2 exons. NCBI's taxonomy places the organism in Eukaryota, Metazoa, Chordata, Aves, Anseriformes, Anatidae. The record is from RefSeq and is a predicted model, not a curated record.